GGUCGCUUUCCCAUCCGCUGCCUCGACGAUCUUCGCUUGCCUCCUCGCUCGCUGUCCCGUUGUCCUAGCCCGCCGCCGCCCGCUGAGCUUGUCUUUUCCCUGCUUGCAGACAUGGCUGACAUCAAGAACAACCCCGAAUAUUCUUCGUUUUUCGGUGUCAUGGGCGCCUCGUCCGCCAUGGUCUUCAGCGCCAUGGGAGCCGCCUAUGGCACAGCCAAGAGCGGCACUGGCAUCGCAGCCAUGUCAGUCAUGAGGCCAGAGCUGAUCAUGAAGUCCAUCAUCCCAGUGGUUAUGGCUGGGAUCAUCGCCAUCUACGGCCUGGUGGUGGCAGUACUUAUCGCUAACUCCCUGACUGAUGGCAUCACCCUCUACAGGAGUUUUCUUCAACUGGGUGCUGGCCUGAGUGUGGGGCUGAGUGGCCUGGCUGCUGGCUUUGCCAUUGGCAUCGUCGGAGAUGCUGGUGUUCGGGGCACUGCCCAGCAGCCUCGACUGUUCGUGGGCAUGAUCCUGAUCCUCAUCUUUGCGGAGGUGCUUGGCCUCUACGGUCUCAUCGUGGCCCUAAUCCUCUCCACAAAGUAGUCCUUUUCCACCAUCAGUCACAGGAUAGGAUGUAAAGAUCACCCCUCCUCAUUCCAGAACGAACAGCCUGACACAUGCACGGGCAGCUGCCCCUCAGUAGUUGGUCUUGUAAAUGUGCAGUGUCCUAGUGCCCAUUGUCUGUCGCCCCCGCCUUGCCCCUACUGCACCGUGCUGUGGACAUACGGGCCCACUCAUCUCCCACCCAGGCCCCUGACCAGUGACGAAGUCAGCCUCUGGUUACCCCACCCAUCGCCCUAGAGUGCUCCUGUGUAUAAGAAUGAACUAGAGUUGUCAUUUUUCUCUUCACUGGAUGUUUAUUUAUAAAAGAUUUGACCUAUUCAUGCGUCUGUGGAGCAGCUCCUGUCUCCCAACUAUAUAGUAAUCAUUAGUAGACUGUUGCCUUGUGGGGUUCCUGUUGCUGAGACUCCUUGGAUGGAGCCACCCUUCCCCCUGCCCUGAACAGCCAGGGUGGAGGAUAGAGUGCUACUGCUCCUCAGAGCUGGCUCCCAGCUGUGUCCAAUAAAAGUUCUCGGAUGUGAAAAAAAAAAAAAAAA
This is an RNA transcript of Mus musculus (house mouse), 1133 nucleotides long. It is a transcript of the gene named ATPase, H+ transporting, lysosomal V0 subunit C, pseudogene 2, with no coding region annotated. The record is from RefSeq and is marked validated. Lineage: Eukaryota; Metazoa; Chordata; Mammalia; Rodentia; Muridae. The transcript has a single exon.